UAGAAACCCUACUCAUAAGGGCAGGAACCUAGUGGUAGCUGUUGCUAUGUCAGUCUAUAUACUGUGUGUGGUGUUAUAAUCCACAUUCUCAUGCAGCACUAUAAUUUUUUCUUGGUACCCUUAGAGCAUACCCUAAGCACAAGCCGAGGGCGGUUUGG
Molecule: long non-coding RNA, 158 nt
Organism: Bufo bufo (common toad)
Lineage: Eukaryota; Metazoa; Chordata; Amphibia; Anura; Bufonidae
Exons: 7
Source: RefSeq, a predicted model, not a curated record